RNAcentral lists this ribosomal RNA (460 nucleotides) under uncultured bacterium. RNAcentral's name for it is "partial 16S ribosomal RNA". It matches the Rfam family "Bacterial small subunit ribosomal RNA", at positions 338 to 795 of the family's 1533-position model. The record is from RNAcentral.
CCUACGGGGGGCAGCAGUGAGGAAUAUUGGUCAAUGGACGCAAGUCUGAACCAGCCAAGCCGCGUGCAGGAAGACGGCUCUAUGAGUUGUAAACUGCUUUUGUACGAGAGUAAACGGAGAUACGCGUAUCUGUCUGAAAGUACCGUACGAAUAAGGAUCGGCUAACUCCGUGCCAGCAGCCGCGGUAAUACGGAGGAUUCAAGCGUUAUCCGGAUUUAUUGGGUUUAAAGGGAGCGUAGGCGGACGGAUAAGUUAGAGGUGAAAGUCCGAGGCUCAACAUCAGAAUUGCAUCUGAUACUGGUCGUCUUGAGUAUAGUUGCGGUAGGCGGAAUGUAUGGUGUAGCGGUGAAAUGCUUAGAGAUCAUACAGAACUCCGAUUGCGAAGGCAGCUUACCAAGCUACUUCUGACGUUGAGGCUCGAAAGUGUGGGGAGCAAACAGGAUUAGAUACCCCAGUAGUC